RNAcentral lists this ribosomal RNA (465 nucleotides) under uncultured bacterium. Its description in RNAcentral is "partial 16S ribosomal RNA". It matches the Rfam family "Bacterial small subunit ribosomal RNA", at positions 338 to 795 of the family's 1533-position model. The record is from RNAcentral.
CCUACGGGUGGCAGCAGUAGGGAAUCUUCCACAAUGGACGAAAGUCUGAUGGAGCAACGCCGCGUGAGUGAAGAAGGGUUUCGGCUCGUAAAGCUCUGUUGGCAGUGAAGAAAGAUAGAGGUAGUAACUGGCCUCUAUUUGACGGUAAUUACUUAGAAAGUCACGGCUAACUACGUGCCAGCAGCCGCGGUAAUACGUAGGUGGCAAGCGUUGUCCGGAUUUAUUGGGCGUAAAGCGAGUGCAGGCGGUUCAAUAAGUCUGAUGUGAAAGCCUUCGGCUCAACCGGAGAAUUGCAUCAGAAACUGUUGAACUAGAGUGCAGAAGAGGAGAGUGGAACUCCAUGUGUAGCGGUGGAAUGCGUAGAUAUAUGGAAGAACACCAGUGGCGAAGGCAGCUCUCUGGUCUGCAACUGACGCUGAGGCUCGAAAGUGUGGGUAUCAAACAGGAUUAGAUACCCGGGUAGUC